UAGGAGGAAUAGCUCAUUUGGUAGAGCAUGAGACUCUUAAUCUUAGGGUCAUAGGUCUGAGCCCCACAUUGGGCAAAA
Molecule: non-coding RNA, 78 nt
Organism: Podarcis lilfordi (Lilford's wall lizard)
Lineage: Eukaryota; Metazoa; Chordata; Lepidosauria; Squamata; Lacertidae
Source: the annotation of a GenBank genome assembly